Molecule: long non-coding RNA, 5348 nt
Filed under: Physcomitrium patens
Lineage: Eukaryota; Viridiplantae; Streptophyta; Bryopsida; Funariales; Funariaceae
Description: long non-coding RNA (PPAT_LNC013038)
Source: RNAcentral
CGGUCGGAGGGCAGUUCGAGGUUGGGAGAGACGGAAGUGUGGCCAAUGAGAUGCAACCGAGGGAAGGGGGUGGAGAAAGACGUGGAGUGAAGAGGAGCAGGGGCUUGCGAGGGAGACAAUGGCAGUUUUGGAGAGGCAGCAGGUUUAGGGUUUCGUGGGGGGAGGAAAAAAGUCACCGUUUAUGAGCGGCGGAGCGAGGAGACUAGCAUCGGUGGAUGGGGGAGUUGGUGGUCGCCAUCGUUGUAUGAAUCGAUGGGUGACUACAUGCCUAUGUCGCAGGAUGUGCAAGCGCAGCAUGCUGCUCGGCGGUGGACCUCGUUCUUAUCCGCGGCGAUGCACGAUGCACAAGCGCCUCGAGAUGCGUUGGGUGGGGUGUACCAGAGGAGCCACAGCUUUUGGGGGUAGGGUUUAGGGUUGCACGCACUCAACAAUUUCUUUUGGAGCCUGCCGAGGUCGUCGAUGUCCAAGGGUGAGUUUUCGGGGUUUCCGAUGGCAAACGAGGAGUCGCGGAUCGAGGCGGGGAGCGGUGAAGGGGGCUUUUAUGAGGAGGCAGGAAGGGAGCAAGUCGAACGGACAUGCGAGGGUUGAAGUUGGGAUUGGCGUCACUGCUGGGGGCCGAGGGACCUGGUCGCUAGGAUUACAGACAUUUUCCGAUGCGUCGUUCAACAAUUUUGUGUCAUCGAACAACGAGGACGAGGAGGCGUGGGCAGUGAUAGACAUGUACGGGUGCAAUGAGUUCCGGAUGUUGGAAUUCUAGAUGAGGCGAUGUAUGAGAGAGAGGAGCCAUGAUUGGACGGAAGGCCCAUUUGCCCACCCGGGCGAGAAAGCUAGGCGUUGCAAUCCGCGACGGUACGAGGACUCGGGGACAGCGUGUAGGGAGUUUCGAAAAAGGGAGCUCUCGGAGAGGCGAUGUGUGCGAGUUUGGGUGCAUUUAAGUAUUGAGUAUUGGCUGCAUUUGGCUCGGUACUUGGACGCAGCCAUGCAAGGAUGGGCAGAAUUAGCAUCAUCGAGUGUGGUUUUUGGUGCAUACGUCGGAGCAGCUACGGUGGAUGCCUGCGGUGGCAAAGGAGGCACAGGAAGCGACGACAAGAGAUCGGAGCACAAGGCAUCACGAAGGGUUGCCGCGAGCCGGUGCACGGGGGAGCUACGAUCGAGCGUCGAGGUACGAGGACUUGUCUUACGACGGACCAUGGGGACGUGACGGUCUGAGCCAGUCGUUGGAGCAUUCUAGGUCGGCCCAGUGGAGUGCAGGGUGUGCGGCAUUGUAGAAUUCAUUGCCUAGGUCGAUGUUGGUGGGGCUUGCACAGUACCCGCUGCCGUUGAGCCCUCUGUUGUUGGGGUUGGUUGAGAAAUGGGCAUAAGUGUGGGGUGAUUAACGAGCGUGUCGAUGUCUGAUUUUACAGAAUCUGUAAUGUGACUAUAGGCGACACUACAGUAAGCGGCGUAGUCUCGAAGGCUGCACUCACGGAUGCAUCAGGGGUAGGCACCUUGGUCGCCUGCGGGAGUCUUGCAGAAGUCGAAGAUGGAGCUGAUAUUGACUCCGUCAAUGAUGAUCCUGAUGGAAGGAGAGCCGGUGGUGCAGCAGGUGGAGAGCGGGCAAAGACAUAGGGGCGAGAAGCCCGAAGGACUCUCUGGACCUGGACUAGGUGAACUACUUAUCUAUGGGGAAUUGCUUUGAGUAAGCAGUGUUCUGUACGCAUUUAGAGUCCAUACACAGUUCUUUGAUAAGAAAAAAUAUGCAAGUGAGAACUGUAAUCAGGGUGUUGAGACCCUAAUUAGGGUUUUCAAACCCUAAAUUACAGAAAACGAAACACAUUUUUUUGAAAAACAAAAACGUUUGUAGAGGUCUUUGGGUGAUUCUAAGCCUUGGCAAAAUCUUAAAACAGAAAAAGCUGUGAUAUAUUAAGAGAUAUUGAGGAUGGAAAACCUCUAGGACACCCUAAACCCUAAACCCUAAACCCUAGAACCCCAGAACCCUAGAACCCUAGAACCCUUGAACCCUAGAACCCUAAACCUUGGCCGUAAUACGCUGUGUUGUUGAGCCCCCCGUUGUAUCCCUCGAAGUCGCCUCCGCCAUCGCCUGGGUCGGUUCAGAAAUGGGGAUAAAUGCGAGAUCAUUUGCAAGUAAGUCGAUGUCAUGAGGGUAACGUGGGAUGUUGCAAGCGACGCUACAGCAAGCGGCGCAAGCUCAGAGGCUAGGGGACACAAGCAGAUGUCGGCGGUGUCGACACAUCGGCGACAUUUGGAACAUUUGAACUUGAUGCCAACGCUGAUAAUACUCAAAGCAGGUUCAAUUGGAAUCGGCUGCCGAGAGCAGGUCCAGUUGGAAUUGGCUGCCAAGAGCAGGUUUAAUUGGAAUCGGGUGCCAAGAGCAGGUCCAGUUGGAAUUGGCUGCCAAGAUCAGGUUCAAUUGGUAUCGGCUACCAAGAGCAGGCCUAGUUGGAAUUGGUUGCCAAGAGCAGGUUCAAUUGGAAUCGGCUGCCAAGAGCAGGUCCAGUUGAAAUUGGCUGCUAAGAGCAGGUUCAUUUCGAAUCGGCUGCCAAUAGCAGGUCUAGUUGGAAUUGUCUGCCAAGAUCAAGUUCAAUUGGAAUCGAGUGCCGAGAGUAGGUCUUGUUGGAAUCGGCUGCCAAGAGCAGGUCUAGUUGGAAUUGGCUGCCAAGAGCAGGUUCAAUUCGAAUCAGCUGCCAAGAGCAAGUUCAGUUGGAAUUGGCUGCCAAGAGCAGGUUCAAUUCGAAUCAGCUGCCAAGAGCAAGUUCAGUUGGAAUUGGCUGCCAAGAGCAGGUUCAAUUGGAAUCGGCUGCCAAAAGCAGGUCUAGUUGGAAUUGGCUACCAAGAGCAGGUCCAGUUGGAAUUGGUUGCCAAAAGCAGGUUCAUUUGGAAUCGGCUGCCAAGAGCAGGUUCAGUUGGAAUUGGCUGCCAAGAGCAGGUUCAAUUGGUAUCGGCUGCCAAGAGCAGGUCCAAUUGGAAUUGGCUCCCAUGAGAAGGUUCAAUUGGAAUCGGCUGCCAAGAACAGGUCCAGUUGGAAUUGGCUUCAAAGAGCAGGUUCAAUUGGAAUCGGCUGCCAACAGCUCAAUGCAUGUCUGCCAAUUAGAAUUGCAUGGCCGGCAAUUGGAAUUGGCAGCUUUUUUUUGCUACGAUUGCUCCUUUCUAGGGCCUGGCACGAAGUAACUUUAGGAGGUUGGCAAGCAUAAAGGAAUCGGCCAACGUAACGACAGGGACGGUGGCUGGUGUUGAUGGCAAUGAACACAACGGCAUGAGACGAGGAAUGAAUGCAGCGUAUGGGUAUUGGCACUGCAAUGCCCAAUUGGGUGUGAAUUGCGGACCAGGGUGGAGGGACGGGUGGGGGAUUGGGAAAUGUCUAUCAUAGCGUGAAUCCUUUGUAUUUGCUCCACAUUUUCUCAGACCGGGUCUUGACGCCUCCUUAUCGUACGUUUUAUAAUAUGCAUUUCAAUGUUGGAACCACAGGUGCUGGUCGUGCUUGGUCGCUUGAGCAAUGCGGUUAAGCUUCAACAACAUCAAGAACAUUAAGAUCGAAGACGUAGAUUACUACGAAGUCUGCAAGCCAUCCACUCAUAACCAUAUGAGCUGCACAAAGCUCCUAAACCUUGGUCGCAAAUGGUGAUGUCCAAAGCUGAUGAUCUCACAAUAGAUCAAUACCUUGGUUUAGGGUACACAAUUUAUAGUCUUAGUCUUCGAAAUAAUAGCUUCCAGUGGCAAUUUAUAGGUCCAAAGUAUACCCUACAAACAAGAGAUGAUCUGGAUUUUUAUUCCUAAACCUAAAUAUCCUACAGUUAGUCGGAGAGGAAGAUGGAAUACGUACAAAUAUAUGAGGUCAUAUGGCUAAAAUCAAGUUAAAUGAAGGAGCUCGGAACUGUAGUGUCAAAAGCAAAAGACACAAGUGAAGUCUGAGAGAAGUGGUCGACCAUGCGUAUGACACCCAGUUGAGAGCAGUCCUCCUUUUCCGCAGUUCAUCUCGCUCGUCGUUGUCACGGUGGAGGUUCAAGUCAUGACAAGGGAUGGCUGCUGCAAAGCGUUUGACUUGGAUCGUCGAAACUGGCCACAGGAGUAGUCGUAAACCGAGAAAAGCUGACCAUUUCGACAGUUGUGAACAGGAGGGGAAUGAGGUGAAUAUAGUUGUGAAACAUAACUCCCUCGCCAUAUCACCCUUGUGUAGCAAUAACCCACUGGCUGGAUGCCAUUUGCACUUCCAAUAUCAAGACUGAAAACGCUUAGAGAUACACUUUAGUUCUAGCUGCAGAAGAACAAUACCAGUUGAAUUAUGCCACCACUACACCUUCAUUUAAAAAAGUACGAUUUCCGCGCAAAGAAUCUAUGUGUGUUGAUUGAGAGAGAGUUUCCACCUUAGGUGCCUUGAGUCAUAAUCAAGAGGCGACCUCUUCGUCUUCCUUCACCCAAACCAACACCCUCAUCUACUACCGUUUCCGUAAGGACCUGAACCAUUAUAAGUAGAUAGUUGACAAUUAUCUCAACUCAAAUAUGAGGCGAAGCACAAAACUGUGAGCCGAACACACGAGCAGGUAACCAUGCUGUGGAAAUUAUGAAUUCAUAGAUGCGGGUUCAUAGAAGUGAAUAUCACCUGUGAGGUCCCAGUCGCGAUUAGGUUUACAUCCAAAACCGGGCACAUGCGCCCGCACAGGAGAAAGGCACAUGAAGGGCGCCGUCCAUCCCAUACUGCCACCGUUCCCUGGAUGCCACUCUCAUUACUCUUUCCCCUUGUACGGGCUGGUCCAAAACCUGGUCGCCUAGUCUUCCGAUCGAAGGCUGCCUUAGGCUUCACAGAAGAGCAAGAUAGUGCGGCGCAUGUCUCAACGAACACAUCGUUCAGGUUUGCUUGCAAAGCACGGGGAGAAUGAGCGGUCGGAGGGCAGUUCGAGGUUGGGAGAGACGGAAGUGUGGCCAAUGAGAUGCAACCGUGGGAAGGGGGUGGAAAAAGACGUGGAGUGAAGAGGAUCAGGGGCUUGCGAGGGAGACAAUGGUAGUUUUGGAAAGGCAGUAGGUUUAGGGUUUCGUGGGGGGAGGAAAAAAGUCACCGUUUAUGAGCGGCGGAGCGGGGAGACUGACAUCACCGGACGGGGGAGUUGGUGGUCGCCAUCGUUGUAUGAAUCGAUGGGUGACUACAUGCCUAUGUCGCAGGAUGUGCAAGCGCAGCAUGCAACUCGGCGGUGGACCUCGUUCUUAUCCGCGGUGAUGCACGAUGCAGGGGCGCCUCGAGAUGACGCGUUGGGUGGGGUGUACCAGAGGAGCCACACCUUUUGGGGGUAGGGUUUAGGGUUGCACGCAUUCAACAAUUUCUUUUGGAGCCUGCCGAGGUCGUCGAUGUCCAAGGG